RNAcentral lists this small RNA (826 nucleotides) under Oryza sativa Japonica Group (Japanese rice). Its description in RNAcentral is "sRNA Os03g0852101". Lineage: Eukaryota; Viridiplantae; Streptophyta; Magnoliopsida; Poales; Poaceae. The record is from RNAcentral.
ACAAACAUCACAACGAUUGAUACAGUUAUCGUUACCAAUAGACUACCACAUUGAAAAGUAUCCCGGUCAGAUGUCAAUCGUCGCAAAAAGGAUCAGUUUCUGCAACCAAGGAUGGCGGCAUUGUCCAGCCGGUUGAAACUCGUAAACCAUUUCCUUCACCCUUCGUGUCCAGUUAAGAAAUUUAGCUGCCCCAGAUACUACUAAAUGCUUUCUUAUGCACAAUAAUUCUCUGAUCUAUAGCCUGUAUAAAUACACGGGAACAUUGCUUGUACAAUUUCGCAAUUUGAACAGAUGAAAAAAAAAAAAGAACUCUCGAAUCAGUAACUGCCUUCGAAUGGCAAUUGAUCAUUGGGCCUGGGGGUCUGCACCCAUAGCACCAAACCUUGCUCCAGCGCCAAGCCCAGCAUUGGGUGGCCUUGCCACAACAACAUUGUCAUCAGCAAAUAGCGCCUUGAUGAACGAAGGAGUCUUCAGGGGACGCCUCCCAGUCAUCCGCGGGUAUACAUCUUCCAGGAAGUAGUACACAUGCCCAGCAAUCAUACCCUGAAAGAAACAAUAUUUGUCAAUUACAGAUAUGGAAACUAAAAAUACUUACCCAAGGUAAAUAAGCAGCAGUAAAGGUGAACAAACCCAAGAAGCUCAUAUGAAUGAAGGGAUUGUGCUUGCUCCAUACAUAAACCAUCAUAAAUGUCAAUGAAUUGCUCAAGAACAGGAUUCUGGCAAAUGUCUCAGAAAUAUAAGGUAUCAUCCCACCAAUCAGAACAAUGCCAGUCAGGACAGUAGCGCCAAACAAGAGCAUGUAGAAAAAGUCAGCAGUUCUUCCUCU